This 253-nucleotide ribosomal RNA is filed under the name uncultured bacterium. Its description in RNAcentral is "partial 16S ribosomal RNA". It matches the Rfam family "Bacterial small subunit ribosomal RNA", at positions 524 to 776 of the family's 1533-position model. The record is from RNAcentral.
UACGUGGGUGGCAAGCGUUGUCCGGAAUUAUUGGGCGUAAAGCGCGCGCAGGCGGUCCUUUAAGUCUGAUGUGAAAGCCCACGGCUCAACCGUGGAGGGUCAUUGGAAACUGGGGGACUUGAGUACAGAAGAGAAGAGUGGAAUUCCACGUGUAGCGGUGAAAUGCGUAGAGAUGUGGAGGAACACCAGUGGCGAAGGCGACUCUUUGGUCUGUAACUGACGCUGAGGCGCGAAAGCGUGGGGAGCAAACAGG